RNAcentral lists this ribosomal RNA (253 nucleotides) under uncultured bacterium. RNAcentral describes it as "partial 16S ribosomal RNA". It matches the Rfam family "Bacterial small subunit ribosomal RNA", at positions 524 to 776 of the family's 1533-position model. The record is from RNAcentral.
UACAGAGGUGGCAAGCGUUGUUCGGAAUUACUGGGCGUAAAGGGCGCGUAGGCGGCUUUCUAAGUCAGACGUGAAAUCCCCCGGCUUAACCUGGGAACUGCGUCUGAUACUGGGAGGCUUGAAUGCGGGAGAGGGAUGUAGAAUUCCAGGUGUAGCGGUGAAAUGCGUAGAUAUCUGGAGGAAUACCGGUGGCGAAGGCGGCAUCCUGGACCGACAUUGACGCUGAGGCGCGAAAGCUAGGGUAGCAAACGGG